Molecule: ribosomal RNA, 253 nt
Filed under: uncultured prokaryote
Description: partial 16S ribosomal RNA
Rfam family: Bacterial small subunit ribosomal RNA
Source: RNAcentral
ACCGAGGUGGCAAGCGUUGUUCGGAAUUACUGGGCGUAAAGGGCGCGUAGGCGGCCUUCUAAGUCAGACGUGAAAUCCCCAGGCUUAACUUGGGAACUGCCGUUGAUACUAUCUGUCUUGAAUACCGUGGAGGUGAGCGGAAUAUGUCAUGUAGCGGUGAAAUGCUUAGAUAUGACAUAGAACACCAAUUGCGAAGGCAGCUCGCUACACGAAUAUUGACUCUGAGGCACGAAAGCGUGGGGAUCAAACAGGA